RNAcentral lists this ribosomal RNA (497 nucleotides) under uncultured bacterium. Its description in RNAcentral is "partial 16S ribosomal RNA". It matches the Rfam family "Bacterial small subunit ribosomal RNA", at positions 28 to 507 of the family's 1533-position model. The record is from RNAcentral.
GAUGAACGCUGGCGGCGUGCCUAAUACAUGCAAGUCGAGCGAACAGACGAGGAGCUUGCUCCUCUGACGUUAGCGGCGGACGGGUGAGUAACACGUGGAUAACCUACCUAUAAGACUGGGAUAACUUCGGGAAACCGGAGCUAAUACCGGAUAAUAUAUUGAACCGCAUGAUUCAAUAGUGAAAGACGGUUUUGCUGUCACUUAUAGAUGGAUCCGCGCCGCAUUAGCUAGUUGGUAAGGUAACGGCUUACCAAGGCGACGAUGCGUAGCCGACCUGAGAGGGUGAUCGGCCACACUGGAACUGAGACACGGUCCAGACUCCUACGGGAGGCAGCAGUAGGGAAUCUUCCGCAAUGGGCGAAAGCUUGACGGAGCAACGCCGCGUGAGUGAUGAAGGUCUUCGGAUCGUAAAACUCUGUUAUUAGGGAAGAACAAAUGUGUAAGUAACUAUGCACGUCUUGACGGUACCUAAUCAGAAAGCCACGGCUAACUACGUG